RNAcentral lists this ribosomal RNA (1220 nucleotides) under Candidatus Phytoplasma solani. Its description in RNAcentral is "bacterial SSU rRNA". It matches the Rfam family "Bacterial small subunit ribosomal RNA", at positions 157 to 1379 of the family's 1533-position model. The record is from RNAcentral. Lineage: Bacteria; Bacillati; Mycoplasmatota; Mollicutes; Acholeplasmatales; Acholeplasmataceae.
CGACUGCUAAGACUGGAUAGGAGAUAAGAAGGCAUCUUUUUAUUUUUAAAAGACCUAGCAAUAGGUAUGCUUAGGGAAGAGCUUGCGUCACAUUAGUUAGUUGGUGGGGUAAUGGCCUACCAAGACGAUGAUGUGUAGCCGGGCUGAGAGGUCGAACGGCCACAUUGGGACUGAGACACGGCCCAAACUCCUACGGGAGGCAGCAGUAAGGAAUUUUCGGCAAUGGAGGAAACUCUGACCGAGCAAUGCCGCGUGAACGAUGAAGUAUUUCGGUACGUAAAGUUCUUUUAUUAGGGAAGAAAAGAUGGUGGAAAAACCAUUAUGACGGUACCUAAUGAAUAAGCCCCGGCUAACUAUGUGCCAGCAGCCGCGGUAAUACAUAGGGGGCAAGCGUUAUCCGGAAUUAUUGGGCGUAAAGGGUGCGUAGGCGGUUAAAUAAGUUUAUGGUCUAAGUGCAACGCUCAACGUUGUGAUGCUAUAAAAACUGUUUAGCUAGAGUUGGAUAGAGGCAAGUGGAAUUCCGUGUGUAGUGGUAAAAUGCGUAAAUAUACGGAGGAACACCAGAAGCGAAGGCGGCUUGCUGGGUCUUAACUGACGCUGAGGCACGAAAGCGUGGGGAGCAAACAGGAUUAGAUACCCUGGUAGUCCACGCCCUAAACGAUGAGUACUAAACGUUGGAUAAAACCAGUGUUGAAGUUAACACAUUAAGUACUCCGCCUGAGUAGUACGUACGCAUGUAUGAAACUUAAAGGAAUUGACGGGACUCCGCACAAGCGGUGGAUCAUGUUGUUUAAUUCGAAGGUACCCGAAAAACCUCACCAGGUCUUGACAUGCUUUUGCAAAGCUGUAGAAAUACAGUGGAGGUUAUCAGAAGCACAGGUGGUGCAUGGUUGUCGUCAGCUCGUGUCGUGAGAUGUUGGGUUAAGUCCCGCAACGAGCGCAACCCUUGUUGUUAAUUGCCAUCAUUAAGUUGGGGACUUUAGCAAGACUGCCAAUGAUAAAUUGGAGGAAGGUGGGGACGACGUCAAAUCAUCAUGCCCCUUAUGACCUGGGCUACAAACGUGAUACAAUGGCUGUUACAAAGGGUAGCUAAAGCGUAAGCUUCUGGCGAAUCUCAAAAAAGCAGUCUCAGUUCGGAUUGAAGUCUGCAACUCGACUUCAUGAAGUUGGAAUCGCUAGUAAUCGCGAAUCAGCAUGUCGCGGUGAAUACGUUCUCGGGG